Molecule: ribosomal RNA, 420 nt
Filed under: Salmonella enterica subsp. diarizonae
Lineage: Bacteria; Pseudomonadati; Pseudomonadota; Gammaproteobacteria; Enterobacterales; Enterobacteriaceae
Description: partial 23S ribosomal RNA
Rfam family: Bacterial large subunit ribosomal RNA
Source: RNAcentral
AGACCCGAAACCCGGUGAUCUAGCCAUGGGCAGGUUGAAGGUUGGGUAACACUAACUGGAGGACCGAACCGACUAAUGUUGAAAAAUUAGCGGAUGACCUGUGGCUGGGGGUGAAAGGCCAAUCAAACCGGGAGAUAGCUGGUUCUCCCCGAAAGCUAUUUAGGUAGCGCCUCGUGAACUCAUCUCCGGGGGUAGAGCACUGUUUCGGCUAGGGGGCCAUCCCGGCUUACCAACCCGAUGCAAACUGCGAAUACCGGAGAAUGUUAUCACGGGAGACACACGGCGGGUGCUAACGUCCGUCGUGAAGAGGGAAACAACCCAGACCGCCAGCUAAGGUCCCAAAGUCAUGGUUAAGUGGGAAACGAUGUGGGAAGGCCCAGACAGCCAGGAUGUUGGCUUAGAAGCAGCCAUCAUUUAAAG